This 254-nucleotide ribosomal RNA is filed under the name uncultured bacterium. RNAcentral describes it as "partial 16S ribosomal RNA". It matches the Rfam family "Bacterial small subunit ribosomal RNA", at positions 524 to 776 of the family's 1533-position model. The record is from RNAcentral.
UACGUAGGGCGCAAGCGUUAUCCGGAAUUAUUGGGCGUAAAGAGCUCGUAGGUGGUUUGUCGCGUUGUUCGUGAAAACUCACAGCUUAACUGUGGGCGUGCGGGCGAUACGGGCAGACUUGAGUACUGCAGGGGAGACUGGAAUUCCUGGUGUAGCGGUGGAAUGCGCAGAUAUCAGGAGGAACACCGGUGGCGAAGGCGGCCUGCUGGGCAGUGGCUGACGCUGAGGCGCGACAGCGUGGGGAGGCAAACAGG